GGUAGGUGAGAAGAGGGAGGGUUUGUCUGGAGUGCAGGCAGGGGGUAAGUGAGAAGAGAUAGGGUUUGUCUGGAGUAUAGGCAGGGGGUAGGUGAGAAGAGAUAGGGUUUGUCUGGAGUAUAGGCAGGGGGUAGGUGAGAAGAGAUAGGGAUUGUCUGGAGUAUAGGCAGAGGGUGGGCUGUACAAGGGGUUAUGGAGUGUAGGCAGGGCGGUAUGAGGAUAUGUAGGGAUUGUUUGGAGUGUAGACAUGAGGGGGAUUCUGAAUGUGUCCGGGGAGGUGGUGCAGCCUGGAGCGUAGGGGGUUAUGGAGAUUGGAGUCGAUGAGGUCCCUCUGAAGUCUUGCCACUGUUGUAAAUACAGGAAACACAGCGGCUCAGAUUGUACGCAGCGAGUUCCCACAAAUAACAAUGUGAUGCCAUCAUCUGUUUCUUUUUGUGGAGUAAAUAUUGACUUCCCUAUUGUUCUUUGAAAUAAUGCUGUGGGAUGUUUUUUGCAUCCACCUGAGAGGGACAUCUGUCACGGUUUUAUCCCCUCAUCCAGGUUCUUUCGGUACCAGUGUCAGCUUUGAAGGAAGCCUUGAGCCCACAAGCUCGUCCCUGAGAUAAAAGACAGCUACCAGCUGAGCGAUUGCUGACAAAUACACUGAAAGAACAUGUAUUUUAGACUGAACGUAAUACUGCCAAUUUAAAAGAGUUGAUAUAAGAUCAUUCAAAGAUAUGACAAUAAAUACGUGAAAGGAGUGGAAAAGCA
Molecule: long non-coding RNA, 750 nt
Organism: Rhincodon typus (whale shark)
Lineage: Eukaryota; Metazoa; Chordata; Chondrichthyes; Orectolobiformes; Rhincodontidae
Exons: 2
Source: RefSeq, a predicted model, not a curated record